RNAcentral lists this ribosomal RNA (609 nucleotides) under uncultured Micromonospora sp. Its description in RNAcentral is "bacterial SSU rRNA". It matches the Rfam family "Bacterial small subunit ribosomal RNA", at positions 61 to 689 of the family's 1533-position model. The record is from RNAcentral. Lineage: Bacteria; Bacillati; Actinomycetota; Actinomycetes; Micromonosporales; Micromonosporaceae.
GUCGAGCGGAAGGCCCUUCGGGGUACUCGAGCGGCGAACGGGUGAGUAACACGUGAGCAACCUGCCCCAGGCUUUGGGAUAACCCCGGGAAACCGGGGCUAAUACCGAAUAUGACCUCUGACCGCAUGGUUGGUGGUGGAAAGUUUUUCGGCUUGGGAUGGGCUCGCGGCCUAUCAGCUUGUUGGUGGGGUGAUGGCCUACCAAGGCGACGACGGGUAGCCGGCCUGAGAGGGCGACCGGCCACACUGGGACUGAGACACGGCCCAGACUCCUACGGGAGGCAGCAGUGGGGAAUAUUGCACAAUGGGCGGAAGCCUGAUGCAGCGACGCCGCGUGAGGGAUGACGGCCUUCGGGUUGUAAACCUCUUUCAGCAGGGACGAAGCGUAAGUGACGGUACCUGCAGAAGAAGCGCCGGCCAACUACGUGCCAGCAGCCGCGGUAAGACGUAGGGCGCGAGCGUUGUCCGGAUUUAUUGGGCGUAAAGAGCUCGUAGGCGGCUUGUCGCGUCGACCGUGAAAACUUGGGGCUCAACCCCAAGCCUGCGGUCGAUACGGGCAGGCUAGAGUUCGGUAGGGGAGACUGGAAUUCCUGGUGUAGCGGUGAAAUGC